GAUGUUGCAUCUUAAAGUGAUUUUUAAGAUAUAUCCCCCGUGGCUAUUUGAGCACGUGAAAUGGCUGCAGAUGACAAACGGUCUCCGACACUGGACUCUACCAGUGAUCUACCUCGUUCUCCUAGUAGUCCGUCUCAUCUCACUCACUUUAAACCCCUGACUCCUGACCAGGAUGAGCCUCCUUUUAAAUCAGCCUACAGCUCUUUUGUAAAUCUCUUCCGCUUCAGCAAAGAUGAUGGCAGGCUUUCAUCCCCAGCAGAGAGAGCAGAGACAGGACAGAGUGAUCCACAAGCGCUGAGUGGUGGCUGGUCCAGUCCUCAGCAUCCCACCAGGGCUCAGUCUCUGAGGUCACCGGUUCCCUACAAAAAACAACUCACUGGUGAGCUGCAAAGAAGAUCUUCUACAACCCUGGACAAUCGAAGGAAAGUAGAACCACCCCUUGGAGGUCAUGAUCCUCGAACAGCAGUUCAGUUAAGAAGCCUCAGCACCGUUUUAAAGCGUCUCAAAGAAAUCAUGGAGGGGAAGAGCCAGGACAGUGACUUGAAGCAGUACUGGAUGCCUGACAGCCAGUGCAAAGAAUGCUAUGACUGCAGCGAGAAAUUCACCACCUUCCGGCGGAGGCACCACUGUCGGCUUUGUGGGCAGAUCUUCUGUAGUCGAUGCUGCAAUCAGGAAAUCCCUGGAAAAUUCAUGGGCUACACAGGGGAUCUCCGAGCCUGCACUUACUGCCGCAAAAUAGCCUUAAGCUAUGCACACUCCACAGACAGUAACUCCAUUGGAGAAGACUUAAAUGCUCUGUCAGAUUCUGCAUGUUCUAUAUCAGUGCUGGAUCCUGGCGAGCCACGUACACCAGUCGGGAGCCGUAAAGCUAGCCGCAACAUCUUCCUGGAGGAGGAUCUGACCUGGCAAAGUCUGAUUCACCCAGACUCUUCAACUACCACACUGACUGCACGCCUUGGGUCUGUCCAGGAGGAUGCAGGAAAGUCGCCAGCUAGGAACAGAUCAGCCAGCAUCACCAACCUGUCACUGGAUCGGUCAGGUUCACCAAUGGUGCCUGCCUAUGAGACAUCUGUCAGCCCCCAGGCCAGUCGCACACAUAUGAAGGCAGAGACCAGCGAGGAUGAGCGCAAAAUCCUUCUGGACUCAGUCCAGCUGAAAGAUCUGUGGAAGAAAAUAUGCCAUCAUAACAGUGGGAUGGAAUUUCAAGACCAUCGCUACUGGCUGCGGACACAUCCCAACUGCAUUGUGGGAAAAGAGCUGGUCAACUGGCUCAUCAGAAAUGGGCACAUAACCACAAGGGUCCAGGCCAUUGCAAUAGGGCAAGCAUUGGUUGAUGGACGCUGGCUGGAAUGUGUCAGUCAUCAUGAUCAGCUCUUCAGAGAUGAGUAUGCUCUCUACAGACCAUUACAGAGCACAGAGUUCUCGGAAACCCCAUCACCAGACAGUGACUCUGUGAACUCUGUAGAGGGGCACUCUGAGCCAUCAUGGUUUAAAGACAUCAAGUUUGAUGACAGUGACACAGAGCAGAUUGCUGAUGAAGGAGAAGAUAACUUAGCCAACUCCGCCAGCCCUAGCAAGCGCACUUCAGUCAGCAGCUUCCAGUCCACAAUGGACAGUGAUUCAGCCGCCUCCAUCAGCCUGAACGUGGAGCUGGACAACGUGAACUUCCAUAUCAAGAAGCACUCCAAGUACCCACAUGUGCCCCCUCACCCUGCCGACCAAAAAGAGUACUUGAAUCCUGAAAACGGUGGGCAGCAGAUGUUCUCUAUAAGUGAUGCUUUUAUUAAAGAGUCAUUAUUCAACAGGAGGGUGGAGGAGAAGUCCAAAGAACUCUUUUUCACGCCCCUAGGCUGGCACCACAGCAAUCUGGAUCUUCUGAGAGAAGAGAAUGGGGAGAAACAAGCCAUGGAAAGGCUGCUGUCUGCUAAUCACAACCACAUGAUGGCACUGCUUCAGCAGCUUCUGUACAAUGAGUCCCUGUCACUGUCCUGGAGGGAUAUCAUUGUACCUGUAGUCUGCCAGGUAGUUCAAACUGUACGGCCCGAUGUCAAGAGCAGAGAUGAUGAUAUGGAUAUCCGCCAGUUUGUCCACAUCAAAAAAAUCCCUGGUGGAAAGAAAUUUGACUCCAUGGUCGUGAAUGGAUUUGUUUGCACUAAGAAUGUUGCACACAAAAAGAUGAACUCUUGCUUAAAAAAUCCUAAAAUUCUUCUGCUGAAGUGCUCAAUUGAGUACCUCUAUCGAGAAGAAACAAAGUUUACCUGCAUAGACCCUAUAGUACUUCAGGAAAGGGAGUUCUUGAAGAACUAUGUACAGCGGAUAGUUGAUGUGAGGCCUAAUUUGGUCCUUGUUGAGAAGACUGUGUCCCGAAUUGCCCAGGACAUGCUCUUAGAGCAUGGUAUCACUCUGGUCAUCAAUGUCAAGCCGCAAGUGUUAGACCGGGUAAGUCGAAUGACCCAGGGAGACUUAGUGAUGUCAAUGGAUCAGCUGUUGACCAAACCACGUUUGGGAACCUGUCAUAAAUUUUAUAUGCAAGUUUUUCAGUUGCCCAAUGACCAAACAAAAACCCUCAUGUUCUUUGAAGGGUGUCCCCAGCACCUGGGUUGCACUAUCAAGUUGUGUGGUGCUGCAGAGUAUGAACUGGCUCGUGUGAAGGAGAUCUUGAUCUUCAUGGUGUGUGUGGCUUAUCAUUCCCAGCUGGAAAUCUCUUUCCUUAUGGAUGAGUUUGCCAUGCCCCCUACUCUGACCAAAAACACCUCCUUUCACUCCCUUAUUGAGGAGCCAGGAGAUGAAAACGAACAACAGAACCUCUUCAAUAGUGAGAAUUUCAGCACAGCAGUCAGAGACAUUGAACUAUCCUCUGAAAAGCUGCCUGUAAUCUCUGAGUCAGUGUCCUCUGAUGAGGUCAGCUUACUUGAACAAAGAACUUUAUUUGAGAGAGGUGACCAAGAGAACAGUCAACUGGAAACAGUGUCCUCUAAACAGCAAGAGCACCACAAAGCGGAGUCACCAUUUCCAGUGUUCAACUCUGUACCUCCUGCAAUACCUGAAACAUCCCUGCUGCCCCUCCAUGGCAUGGACCAGCACUUGGUCACUCUGGAUAGCCAGACUCUGGAGCCUCUUCAACAAGCAGAUGAUCUGCAGGAGUCUAAGAGUCAGAUGAGAGUCUUCAGAGACCCACUCCAGGAUGAUACUGGUUUAUAUGUCACAGAAGAGGUAACUUCUUCUGAGGAUCGUCUCAAGACUUACUCUGCAGCAUUUAAGCAGGAGUUGAAAGAUGUCAUUCUCUGUAUUUCUCCUGUAAUGAUGUUCCGUGAACCAUUUCUUUUGACUGAAAAAGGCAUGAGGUGCCCUGCCCGGGAAUACUUCCCUGAGCAAGUUUAUUGGUCUCCUCUCCUCAAUAAGGAAUACAAGGAGUUGGAGAGCAGAAGGAAGAGACAAUUAUUGCGGGACCUCUCUGGACUACAAGGGAUGAAUGGGAGUAUCCAAGCCAAGGCUAUCCAAAUAUUACCUUCUCAUGAGUUGGUUAAUACUAGAAUAGCAGAACAUCUAGGUGAUAGCCAGAGUUUAGCCAGAAUGCUGGCUGACUAUCGGGCCAGAGGAGGGAGAAUACUACAGAAAAGCACAGAUCCUUUUGCCCAAAGUAAGGAUAUGUCUAGUGUCCCUACUGGAAAAACUGGGUGCAGAACUGAAGAGGAUGAGAAGGGACUGGCUCAGAGUGAAUCCUCAUGGUCUCAUAAGGUGGAUUGCCUGAGUCCAGUAAACCACCAGAGGCUCUGUGUUCUCUUCAGUAGCUCUUCUGCUCAGUCCAGCAAUGCUCCAAGUGCCUGUGUUAGUCCCUGGAUUGUGACCAUGGAGUUCUAUGGGAAAAAUGACCUGACUCUAGGGAUUUUUCUGGAGCGCUACUGUUUCAGGCCUUCCUACCAAUGCCCCAGCAUGUUCUGUGAAACACCAAUGGUGCACCACAUUCGUCGCUUUGUUCAUGGACAAGGCUGUGUGCAAAUUGUGUUAAAGGAGCUGGACUCCCCAGUCCCUGGGUACCAGCAUACCAUUCUUACUUACUCCUGGUGUAGACUGUGCAAACAGGUGACACCAGUUGUUCCCCUUUCCAAUGAUUCUUGGUCUAUGUCUUUUGCAAAAUACCUUGAGCUGAGAUUCUAUGGGCACCAGUACACUCGAAGGGCCAAUGCAGAGCCUUGUGGUCAUUCCAUUCACCAUGACUAUCACCAGUAUUUUUCCUAUAAUCAGAUGGUGGCAUCUUUCAGCUACUCUCCAAUUCGACUGCUUGAAGUGUGUGUCCCACUCCCCAAGAUCUACAUCAAACGACAGGCUCCGUCAAAAGUUACUAUUUUGCAGGAUCUGAAGGAUUUCUCUCAAAAGGUGUCACAAGUGUAUCUUGCUGUUGAUGAUCGCCUUGCUUCUCUGAAAACGGAUACUUUCAGCAAAACGAGAGAAGAGAAGAUGGAAGACCUCUUUGCCCAAAAGGAGAUGGAAGAGGGGGAGUUUCAAAACUGGACUGAGAAAAUUCAAGCAAGGCUGCUUUCAUCAUCAUUGGACACACCUCAACAGUUGCAAUCUGUUUUUGAGUCUCUGAUAGCUAAAAAACAAGGACUUUGUGAGAUGCUACAAGCCUGGAAUAAUAGAUUGCAGGACCUCUUCCAACAAGAGAAAGGGAGAAAACGUCCAUCAGUACCACCCAGCCCUGGGAGACUGAGGCAAGGUGAAGAAAGUAAGAUCAGUAGCAUGGAUGCUUCCCCACGCAAUGUUUCUCCAGCACUGCAAAAUGGAGAGAAAGAGGAUCGUUUCCUGACUACUUUGUCAAGUCAGAGCUCCACAGGCUCCACCCAUCUUCAGCUGCCCACCCCUCCAGAGGUUGUAUCGGAGCACAUGACUGGUGCCAACACACUGUCUGAACAGGACACAACAAGCAGCUCUGAAGAUGUGUUUGAUGGACACUCAUUGGGAUCUACAGACAGCCAAGUGAAGGAGAAGUCUACUAUGAAAGCUAUUUUGGCUAACUUUUUGCCGGGAAACAGCUAUAACCCCAUUCCAUUUCCCUUUGAUCCAGAUAAGCACUACCUGAUGUAUGAGCAUGAACGUGUACCUAUUGCAGUCUGUGAGAAAGAACCAAGCUCCAUCAUAGCUUUUGCUCUCAGCUGCAAAGAGUACAGAAAUGCCCUGGAUGAGUUGUCCAAAGCAUCUCUGAAGAACAGUUGUGAAGAAGGACUACAGCCAAACAGUAUGUCAGACAGCAAGCCAAAGAGCAGUAGUCCUGUCCGCCUGCCUGACGCUAACAUGGGUCCUUCAAAUCGCAAUGCAGAACCAGAACAGCCAAAGAAACCAUCUGGUGUUUUAUCUUUCUUCCGUGGCACGGGAGGGAAGAGCCCGGACCUCUCUUCCCAGAAGAAAGAGACCUUACGUGGUGCUGACAGUGCCUACUACCAGGUUGGACAGAUGGGCAAAGAGGGAGCUGAAAACCAAGGAGCAGAGCCUCAAGAUGACGUAGAUGGAGGAGAUGGACAGAAGAAACAACUGGUGAAUCCCCAUGUGGAACUUCAGUUUUCAGAUGCAAAUGCCAAAUUCUAUUGCCGGAUUUAUUAUGCUGGCGAGUUUCACAAGAUGCGUGAAGUGAUACUGGGGAGCAGUGAAGAGGACUUCAUCCGAUCCCUCUCUCACUCUAUGCCCUGGCAGGCGCGAGGUGGCAAAUCUGGGGCUGCAUUCUAUGUGACUGAUGAUGAUAGAUUCAUCUUGAAGCAGAUGCCUCGUCUGGAAGUCCAGUCAUUCCUUGACUUUGCUCCACACUACUUCACUUACAUCAUUAAUGCAGUUCAGCAGAAGAAGCCCACAGCACUGGCCAAAAUCCUUGGGGUAUAUCGAAUUGGAUACAAGAACUCUCAAAACAACACUGAGAAGAAGCUGGAUCUACUUGUGAUGGAAAAUCUUUUCUACGGCAGGAAAAUGGCUCAGGUUUUUGACCUAAAGGGCUCCCUCCGGAAUAGAAAUGUUAAAACAGACACAGGCAAAGAAAGCUGUGAUGUAGUCCUGCUGGAUGAGAACCUUCUAAAGAUGGUCCGAGACAAUCCUUUGUACAUCCGUUCCCAUUGCAAGGCUGUGCUGAGAGCUUCCAUACACAGUGAUUCCCAGUUCCUCUCCAGCCACCUCAUCAUCGACUAUUCCCUGCUGGUGGGUCGUGAUGAUGCCAACAAUGAGCUUGUUGUUGGGAUCAUUGACUAUAUUCGCACUUUUACCUGGGACAAAAAGCUUGAAAUGGUGGUGAAGUCAACUGGCAUCUUGGGAGGACAAGGUAAGAUGCCAACCGUAGUCUCUCCGGAGCUCUACCGGACCAGGUUUUGUGAAGCUAUGGACAAGUAUUUCCUGAUGGUGCCAGACCACUGGACAGGACUGGGCCUGAAUUGCUAAGCUAAAUCCCAUAUUGGGAAAGCACAAGAGGACAAUGACAUUAUAGGCCACUCUAUUUCUGCGGUCUGUCCAGCAGUAAGCAAGAGGAUUGCAGUUCCAUGUCUACACUGACUGUGUGCAUCAUGUUGUGAAGUGUGAAAUCUGCUUGUUGCACUUUAAUCCUCUCGAAGGCUGAUAAGUGAACCAGCCUCACUAAGGAUUGAAGCUGUAAGGUACCGCUGAACGGCACUGAUAAGAGACAUUCCCUCUGUCAGCAGGGAAGGUGAUGCUAUCUCCAUGCAAGAUUACUGAAACAGAUACUGUUCAGUUCAUGAUGGUGUAGAAGUACAUGAUCUCUGUAAGUCUUGCACAGACUAAGUGGUGGUGAAUAUUAGCAGCUCAUGUUUCUGUAGUGGAUGUGUGGUACUGCAAAUGUGAAAUAAAUCCCCCUCUAUGUGUGUGGGUGGGUGAGACAAGAAUGAAGUUAAUCCCCGAGUUCUGCUAUUGUUGCAGUGGUUUGUAGCUGACCUGGUUAGGAUCCAUGAAUAACUUGUCCUGGUUAUGCUCUAUAGCUUCAAUUUUUCCUGGGUUCUGUAAACAGGAAUUUUUUUUUUUUUUUUUUAGAAGGCAGCUCCACAGCUAUGCCAUAUCACUACAUCUUUUAAGUUGUAUUACUGCAAUACAACUUUGUCUUUAUCUGUUGUAAUUUCAUUUUAGCUGAAUCCCAUAGAAAUGGGUUGUCAGUCAUCAGCACGCUGCAAAACCCCAAACAUAUCCCUUCAAUCCUAAACAGUAUUUUGAUCUGAAUGUUGCCCAAAUCCCUGGAAACAGGUAACUAAAAAUAAUAUACCCUUUAAUUUAACAAGACUUGCUUAAUUACAGUUAUGAAGCUGGUUAACCCUUUCCUUAGCAGAAGGCACUAAGUUGAUAGACAAAAUGAAGCAUACUGCCUUAGAGUGACAACUUUCUCCUUAAUGAAACCAUCCUUCCUGGCAGAUCACUUCAAAUCCAUUUCACAUCCCCAGGACUUUCAAAUAAUGCAUUUACCUCAUGGUGAAACUUUGCCAGGAGAAUGUUUUUCUUGCAUUCAUGACAUGCUGAUGAGAAUGAGCAUCCAGAUCUCAUCACGCUGUGCAGUCCCAAUGGAAAAACUGUCUCUUCAGCAGUAUUAGAUUUUUUUUUUUUUUUUUUGCACCACUGAGAUGAAUGUAGUCAUCUUUUUCUGUAAAAAGAAAAGCCUGAACCAACAGGUGUCUUGUAUAAUGGAUAAGAUGUGCAGGGAUCUGUGAAUCUCUGUUGUGACAAUAAGCACUUCUUUCCAUUUUUAUUAAUUUUUACCUGGUUUUGUAGGUGAUGAGUUUACUUUUUAGUUUCACUAUAUUAUAGGCCAGUAAAUAAGAGGGGGUUUUAUGAAUUCAGGAGGCAAGAAUACUGUCCUUUGACUUCUAGUUUCUGAGGGAAGGACUUCAAACGAACAUGGACUCUGGGACAGUAUAGCUCUUUAUGACCACUUGCUCAUUCUGACCAGUUGCCUGGUAAUGCCAUCUUCACUGUAACUAUGGAUUGAAAUAUGAAUUUUGUUCACUCCUAUGUUCAGUAUUUUCUUCUGUAGCAGAUGGUGGUGGCUCUGUUCAGGAGUGACAUCUGGGCAGCACUGAGAAAGGAAAAUGCCAGCAGUGAGAAUUGAUCUGUUGUCUGCAAAAACAACUAGUGCAGCUCAGGUCCGAGCUGCCAGGAGGCAACAGUCAGUUGUGUUGAAAGAAGUCUUCCCCACCCUAUUGCAAAGCCCGACAGGAGGAAGAGCCAAGAUGCUGACCUUGAAGCAGCAGAGAUGAAAGUAUUCUCAGUUCCUCUGUACAAUGUAAUCAUUGUUUCCAAGGCUGCAGUGAUGUAUGCUGUGGAAAGAUGACAUAGCACUUCUUGCUUCCUCUGGCCCAGAAUCCUUCUGGUCCAACAUAGUCCAUCAGCUACAGCUGACCACCUCUGGGACACAUCUUGCCUCCUGCGUUCAAAUGUACUCCUAGAAUGGCUAGCUGUGUGGGGGGCCUUGUGUACUGAGGAGCCAACCAGUCCAUCAGCUCAGUGCUACUCUCACCUCUGUGGCUUCUGCAUUCUGUCUUCGUCCAUUGAUGUGAAAGAGCAUGCCAUGCAGCCCGGAUCUGUUCCAGUCUCAGUUAAAGUUUACAUGUGUUCUUCCUCCUUCCCCUCCUAAAGUUUACAGGGAAAAAAACUUGACUUUCCUGACCAGCUAAGGUGACCCAAUAGCAGCUGGUUAUGUUAUUUUCCACCUUUGUCAGUAUGUGGAUUGAUUGAUGGAGUAUAUGAAUAUGGGCAGUGUCAUGGCUUUUGCACUAGGCUGAUGUAGAACUGUGAUGUGCUAGUCCUGUCCUGUCACCAGUAACCCUUACUCCAGUGACAUGUAGCUCCUCUAUACUGCUUGUCUUCCAGAGUCCCAAGCAGCUGACUCUAAUGUUCCCUGUACCUGACGGCAUGAGGCCCUCAGCACUGUGGAAGUGAGAGAACCUUCCCCUGGCCAGCUGUUCAGCAGCCUGUGAACGCAGAGCCCCGGCAUGUGAACUGUGAUCUUCUUGGGCUGAAGUUACAGCAGUUGGACAGAUUUGCAGGAGUGAUCUUGAGCUGGCAUCAACAUCUAACUUUGGGUCAGCAUGUUGCUGAUACUGUAGUCUGGUCAGGACUAAUCUAAAUAGCAAAAUACUAGUUGUGGGUAACACAGUAGCUGCAAUAUUAACUGGAUUUGGGACAUCUUUGGGUGCCAUGUGAUGUAAAGCUAUAGGCAUUUCUAGGUCAAAUCUCAGCAGUUGAACAGAUCUCCUUAAAUAUUCCUUUUAAAGAAUAAGAAUUAUCCUGGCAUUUCACUUGUUACACAGCUAACUUUCUCAAAAGGACAGCAAUACUUCAUGCAGAAGAGAUCUAUGAGAGAGCUCCUUGUGCGGUUGUAUUAGGUCUAUGUCCCUGCAGCAUGCCUAAGGAUGUCCUAGAACGUCUUAGGUAUUAAUUACACGAGCCUUUUGAUUAGAGUUUUUUUAUUUCUUUGUAACACAGGCUUAGCAUAUAUGCGUGUAAGCAAAUCACAGUUGCAAACAUGAAGACUGCAUUUCUUCAGAGCUACACUGGCUCUUUUUCUUCUGUUGUUUUGAUCUGAGGCCUUGUGACAAAUAUCUAAAUCUUGUCCCAGUCAGAAGUGAUGACUUGCUUUCAGUCAUCAUGUAGACAGCAGAAUGCCUUGUAGUGGCCCAGCAAUAGAUCCUGUCCCCCAAAAGCACAUGAGGGACUGUUGCUGGUUAAGUAAGGGCAGGGCUUAGGGGAGUUACCUGUGGAGUGGACUUUCCUCUGUGAGAAUGACCAAAACCAAAUGAAUCGCUCACUAGCAGGUGGACAGACUAAUCAUUAUUCAAAGCACUUAAUGUACCAUAAUGUAUGAAUUUCUAACCUACCUUGGUUCAGGUGUAUUUUAUAAAAUUGAUGUACUAAGCUAUUUGAGAAUAACUGCCUUGACUACCUGGAAAAUCAAAAUGUAAUGUAUAUAUAUACAAAUAAACUGACUAAAAUAUACUUGAGUCUAUUCCAUGUGGUGGAGCAGUUAGGUCUCACAGCAUUUGUUUGUUCAGAGGCUAAGCUCUCUGCUUGAUCUGCAGCAAUUGCUCUGUUGGAGAUUGCCAGCUUUGUGUGCAGUGUAAGCAUGUCUGUCAUCUCUAUACCUUGCAGCUCGUCUCUUCUAAUGAAGCAGGGCUUCUGGGCUGCUCUCCAGGUCAGUGGCUGUAGCAUGUCCAAACAACCUUUCACGCAUUUCUCCCACCUUCUCCCCAGCUGCUUUUCAACACACAGUGCUGCGUGAGACAGGGAGUCAGUUAUGUCCAGCAGAUGAUGGUGUUGCCAUGGCCCAGUUCUUCCAAGAGGUGGAACGCGUUCCUCAGGAAAAAUCUGCAGGUAUUUCUGUAGUCGUCUCUUAAGUGGACUCGAUAAAGAAAAAAUCCAAGGAGGUCUGAAAAUUAAUGGCAUAUCUCGAUUGCUUCAUAUGAAUCUAGUAUAUAAUAACCUUCUCUCUUAAAGUUAAAAAUGAUGUAUGAUUAGUUCUGGGAAGUGUACUUGUUGGUCCCUAGAAUAUCAAACUCAAAAUCUAAAACUUAAGGAUUUUACCUGUAGUAUCUGCCAUCACCACUUUUACCAGGUGAGUAUGAAACUCCAUUGGAAACUGUCCCACCAAGGGGGUGUGAGCAAGGCAAAAGGUGCAAUACUCAAUUCAGGGGCAGUGCUGCCUUGUGCUGGUGUAAGGUUGAAUGGUGGGAUUUGUGGGGCUUCUCACAAGAAUUCGAAAAGCACAGAUGCAGUUAUCAGAACAGCUCUGCUUUAAUACAAGUGGGACUGCCAACACCUAGUAAAGGGCAAGAGUUUGUGCUCUAAGUGAAACUUCGGUACUGAAGUCAGUAUUUGAAAAUGAAACUGUAAUUGCAUGUGUUUUCCAUUGAUGUAACUGAUGAUACGAGACAUGGGUCAACUUCCUUGCUACCACCUUGAUUUAGACAACACUACUAUUUAAAAAAAAAAAAAAAAGUUGGGAUUCACCAUCUCAGUCCAUGCUGUAAUGUCUCAAAUUGAGUCCUGUGGUGUCAUAAUGUGGAGAUACACAAGCAACAAGUACCUUGGGUUUAGUGUGGAGGUUUUAAGUCAGUGAAGAUAUAGAGUAAUUUUGCACAAUAAUUGGGAAAAAAACAGGCCAUCCCUUAUUUCUCCCUGUUUUCAGGGGACAGAACUGGAAAUCUGGCGCACUGGAGAUUCAAGAUCUAGAUGUGCUGGACACUGAUACUAGCCUAGUAUUGCCAUGAAAGUAAUAACAAAACAGGAAUCUAGGGUCCCCAAGUUCCUGCUGUGGAGCCAUGGUUUGUUGUCAGAUCUCUGCAAGGAACAAAAAGAAACAAAAAUAAACCACUUCAUUUUUUGGCAAGAGGAGGUUUUUCUGUAUCUUUAAAUGUGUGCCCGGAGCAGAGCCUGCUUCUGAAAAGAUGGAAGGAUGACAGGAACAGGUAAGAGUGGGUUGGGGGCUUGUUUGGUAAUCUGGCAGAGUCAGAACAAGUCCCCACAUGUGCAUACUGUUACAAAGCUUUGUUCUCCAGCCUCUCCUGCCUCGUGGCAUGAGUCCUAUACCAAGUGACGUGUAUGAGGGCAGAAAGCAAUGCUUGGUUUGAAUGAUGAAAACCAAUGCUUGAAAUAUUGCUGGUUAUGAAUUAUUAUCAUCCUGCAUAAUGAGUUUAAGCUUUGCAGAGCUCCAAGCGAGCUAGUUUCUUACCAUAAAGAUGGAGUUCUUCCGUGUUUCCAAAAGCACAAUGUUAUCAUCCUACAAAACUGUGCUCGUUCACACAGCUUGUGCCAGUUACAGAGGCUGUUUCUCAGUUCAACUCCUGCAGUAGAUUGCAAUAAUACAUGAAAGCAGAGUGGUUAGCAGUCAGCCAGCUCUUUAUUCCCUCUGCGUUUUUUCCUUAGGUGAGAUCCUUUCUUGCUGGUCUGUGUCAUCUGUGAAGCUCCUUUCAUUGCACCUCCUAUCCUGUGAUUAUAUGUAGUUUCUCGGUUGGAGGCCUUGCUCUUACAUCUUUGUAGGUAAACUUGUGUUAUCAGAAUUAGCUGACAUAAGGUCUCUGGUCCUAAUCUGAAGGCUCUUUUUAAACCCAGGCUGAAAGCUACCUAACUAGUCCUUAGUCCUUGCAGCCACAGAAAGCGGUCUUCUGACUCUCUUCAGUUGUUUACAGCUGUAUUAAGUAAACAAGUUCUGGAGAAGUGUGCUAUGUAAGCAGGAGCUGUUAUGUGGUGUGAGGAGUCCUGAGAGGAAAGAAUAGAGCUUGGGUAGUGAAAGGGCUGUUGCAGUCAACAUUCUUAGGAUGGCAGAACUGGCACUAUUUGUAAAUAUGCAAGAUGAGUUGUAAAAUCUCAUUGCCAUUCUGAAGGAGAGAUGUCGAGGCUUAGUAAUUAUAGCCUCACCUUUGAAGUGCUGAAGUUGACUUGUGUGGGGAAAAUAGCAAGCAUGUAAAAAGGCAAGCAUGUCAGAAGAGAAUAAAAGCUGAUUUAUGCCAAUUAUCACAUUGGAAAGAUUUUUUUUUUACAGAAGGGUGCAUUUUGGCUGCCAGAAACAGAAGAAUCCUACAUUCAGUUCUGAGGAUUUUGUGGGGAUUUUGCUGAUAAAGAGAAGGUGGGAGAAAGAGGCACAAAGCAACACUGCUGAAGUCAAAAAGAAAAAUGAGGACCCUCCCCCUGCAUAACAGGUAAAAUUCAAGAGGAAUGCAGGGAAGAAGACAGUGGCUCUGGUAGGUUGAUUUAUGAUUCACUAAUAUAUUUUUGUCUCAGUUUAAACAAUGAUAAUUGUCUUUACAGUAAGAACCACUCUUAGCUGCUAGUUUUCAAAACUAUACAAAUUUUGUCUUGAUCCUUAGAGAAACCUGAAAUAGUUACAAUUUUCUCACAUUUAUUCAGUAAAGUAUUUAAUGUAGAUAGCCAUUA
RNA transcript from Tyto alba (common barn owl), 12903 nucleotides. It is a transcript of the gene named phosphoinositide kinase, FYVE-type zinc finger containing, with no coding region annotated. The transcript is spliced from 43 exons. NCBI's taxonomy places the organism in Eukaryota, Metazoa, Chordata, Aves, Strigiformes, Tytonidae. The record is from RefSeq and is a predicted model, not a curated record.